Pelobates cultripes (western spadefoot toad) is the source of this 235-nucleotide non-coding RNA. NCBI's taxonomy places the organism in Eukaryota, Metazoa, Chordata, Amphibia, Anura, Pelobatidae. The record is from the annotation of a GenBank genome assembly.
CUUUGAGUGUUAGUUAACACUCUUAUCCUAAUACUCUUAUCCUUAUUGUGUAUAGAUUUUAAUUACAAUUUUGCAGCAUUCUACAUCUUAACCCUGCCACCUUGUCCCUCUUAACCUUCUGUGUCCAGUAUUCCAGUUGUACAUGUCAUCAGUGAGCACCACAAAAGAUUCUACUAUUAUAUAUAGAAAGUUGAGAACUGAACCACAUGUGAGAGAAACCCCACCUCUGAGCAGA